UGGGGAAUAUUGCACAAUGGAGGGAACUCUGAUGCAGCGACGCCGCGUGAGUGAUGAAGGAAUUCGUUUCGUAAAACUCUGUUCUAUGGGAAGAAAAGGACUGUACCAUAGGAGAAAGCUCCUGCUAAAUACGUGCCAGCAGCCGCGGUAAUACGUAUGGCGCGAGCGUUGUCCGGAAUUAUUGGGCGUAAAGGGUGCGCAGGCGGCUUUACAAGUUGGAUGUGAAAUAUUGUGGCUCAACCACAAACGUGCAUCCAAAACUGCAAAGCUUGAGUUAAGGAGAGGUAAGUGGAAUUCCUGGUGUAGCAGUGGAAUGCGUAGAUAUCAGGAGGAAUACCGGUGGCGAAGGCGACUUACUGGACUUAAACUGACGCUCAGGCACGAAAGCGUGGGGAGCAAACAGG
RNAcentral lists this ribosomal RNA (404 nucleotides) under Fusobacteriota bacterium. RNAcentral's name for it is "Fusobacteria bacterium partial 16S ribosomal RNA". It matches the Rfam family "Bacterial small subunit ribosomal RNA", at positions 355 to 776 of the family's 1533-position model. The record is from RNAcentral. Lineage: Bacteria; Fusobacteriati; Fusobacteriota.